RNAcentral lists this ribosomal RNA (477 nucleotides) under uncultured bacterium. RNAcentral's name for it is "partial 16S ribosomal RNA". It matches the Rfam family "Bacterial small subunit ribosomal RNA", at positions 30 to 507 of the family's 1533-position model. The record is from RNAcentral.
AUUGAACGCUGGCGGCAUGCCUUACACAUGCAAGUCGAACGGUAACAGGUUAAGCUGACGAGUGGCGAACGGGUGAGUAAUGUAUCGGAACGUGCCCAGUCGUGGGGGAUAACUGCUCGAAAGAGCAGCUAAUACUGCAUACGACCUGAGGGUGAAAGCGGGGGAUCGCAAGACCUCGCGCGAUUGGAGCGGCCGAUAUCAGAUUAGGUAGUUGGUGAGGUAAAGGCUCACCAAGCCGACGAUCUGUAGCUGGUCUGAGAGGACGACCAGCCACACUGGGACUGAGACACGGCCCAGACUCCUACGGGAGGCAGCAGUGGGGAAUUUUGGACAAUGGGCGCAAGCCUGAUCCAGCCAUGCCGCGUGCGGGAAGAAGGCCUUCGGGUUGUAAACCGCUUUUGUCAGGGAAGAAAAGGUUCUGGCUAAUACCUGGGACUCAUGACGGUACCUGAAGAAUAAGCACCGGCUAACUACGUG